Molecule: small nucleolar RNA, 112 nt
Organism: Lycium ferocissimum
Lineage: Eukaryota; Viridiplantae; Streptophyta; Magnoliopsida; Solanales; Solanaceae
Source: RefSeq, a predicted model, not a curated record
AAACCAUGAUUUGGACUCUUCUGCAAAUACUCCUUGAAUCUCUCCCAGGCUUCAUAUAGCUGUUCCCCCGGCCGCUGCUUAAAUUCAUAGAUCUUGUCCCAUUUUUCAGCCU